UACGGGGGGAGCUAACGUUGUUCGGAUUUACUGGGCGUAAAGGGGGUGUAGGCGGCUUGAUAAGUGGGGAGUGAAACCCUUCGGCUCAACCGAAGACCUGCUUUCCAAACUGUUAGGCUUGAGUCCGGGAGGGGAGACGGGAAUUCCUGGUGUAGCGGUGAAAUGCGCAGAUAUCAGGAGGAACACCGGUGGCGAAGGCGCGUCUCUGGACCGGUACUGACGCUGAGACCCGAAAGCGUGGGGAGCAAACAGG
This 253-nucleotide ribosomal RNA is filed under the name uncultured bacterium. RNAcentral describes it as "partial 16S ribosomal RNA". It matches the Rfam family "Bacterial small subunit ribosomal RNA", at positions 524 to 776 of the family's 1533-position model. The record is from RNAcentral.